This 208-nucleotide ribosomal RNA is filed under the name uncultured bacterium. RNAcentral describes it as "partial 16S ribosomal RNA". It matches the Rfam family "Bacterial small subunit ribosomal RNA", at positions 568 to 774 of the family's 1533-position model. The record is from RNAcentral.
CGCGUAGGCGGCUAGAAAAGUCGGAUGUGAAAUUCCGGGGCUCAACCCCGGAGCUGCAUUUGAAACUCUCUAGCUAGAGUACAGUUAGGGUAAACGGAAUUCCACGUGUAGCGGUGAAAUGCGUAGAUAUGUGGAAGAACACCGGUGGUGAAGACGGUUUACUGGGCUGUUUCUGACGCUGAGGCGCGAAAGCAUGGGUAAGCAAACA